ACGGGGACCCGCACAAGCGGUGGAUGAUGUGGUUUAAUUCGAUGCAACGCGAAAAACCUUACCCACCUUUGACAUGGCAGGAAUCCUAAAGAGAUUUGGGAGUGCUCGAAAGAGAACCUGCACACAGGUGCUGCAUGGCUGUCGUCAGCUCGUGUCGUGAGAUGUUGGGUUAAGUCCCGCAACGAGCGCAACCCUUGCCAUUAGUUGCUACGAAAGGGCACUCUAAUGGGACUGCCGGUGACAAACCGGAGGAAGGUGGGGAUGACGUCAAGUCCUCAUGGCCCUUAUAGGGUGGGCUACACACGUCAUACAAUGGCCGGUACAGAGGGUAGCCAACCCGCGAGGGGGAGCCAAUCCCACAAAGCCGGUCGUAGUCCGGAUCGCAGUCUGCAACUCGACUGCGUGAAGUCGGAAUCGCUAGUAAUCGCGGAUCAGCAUGUCGCGGUGAAUACGUUCCCGGGUCUU
RNAcentral lists this ribosomal RNA (465 nucleotides) under uncultured Allobrachymonas sp. Its description in RNAcentral is "bacterial SSU rRNA". It matches the Rfam family "Bacterial small subunit ribosomal RNA", at positions 913 to 1382 of the family's 1533-position model. Lineage: Bacteria; Pseudomonadati; Pseudomonadota; Betaproteobacteria; Burkholderiales; Comamonadaceae. The record is from RNAcentral.